GGCACCGCUUGAAAAAAAUACGAGAAAGCUCAGAAAUGUAAUGAUGUUAACAAUGUGUUAUGCAGCUAACGUUGGAGGGGCAGGAACGCUACCAGCCACCGCCCCAAAUUUAGUCUUCAAGUUUGUUGUAGAGGAUUUAUACCCAAAUUAUGGCGGGGUAAGCUUCACGACUUGGAUGUUGUUCAAUACCCCGGGAAUUUUAUUAUGUGUGGGGAUCAUUUGGUUUCUAACUGUUAUCUUCGUACUUCGGAAAAUGCCUCAAACUUCCACACAUGCACAGCAGUCUCAAGUGAAGAAUUUUAUUCGGUUAAAGUACACGGAACUUGGAAGUUUGACGU
Molecule: long non-coding RNA, 338 nt
Organism: Limulus polyphemus (Atlantic horseshoe crab)
Lineage: Eukaryota; Metazoa; Arthropoda; Merostomata; Xiphosura; Limulidae
Exons: 3
Source: RefSeq, a predicted model, not a curated record